Molecule: ribosomal RNA, 1476 nt
Filed under: uncultured Bordetella sp.
Lineage: Bacteria; Pseudomonadati; Pseudomonadota; Betaproteobacteria; Burkholderiales; Alcaligenaceae
Description: partial 16S-23S ribosomal RNA intergenic spacer
Rfam family: Bacterial small subunit ribosomal RNA
Source: RNAcentral
UUCGAUUCUGGCUCAGAUUGAACGCUGGCGGGAUCUUUUACACAUACAAGUCGAACGGCAGCACGGACUUCGGUCUGGUGGCGAGUGGCGAACGGGUGGUAAUGCUGUCGGAACGUGCCUAGUAGCGGGGAUAACUACCGCGAAAGCGUAGCUAAUACCACGCAUACGCCCUUCGGGGAAAGCGGGGGACCUUCGGGCCUCGCACUAUUAGAGCCCCGGUCGAUAUCGGAUUGGCUAGUUGGUGGGGUAACGGCUCACCAAGACGACGAUCCGUAGCUGGUUUGAGAGGACGACCAGCCACACUGGGACUGAGACACGGCCCAGACUCCUACGGGAGGCAGCAGUGGGGGAAUUUUGGACAAUGGAAACCCUGAUCCAGCCAUCCCGCGUGUGCGAUGAAGGCCGGGUUGUAAAGCACUUUUGGCAGGAAAAAAACGGCACGGGAUAAUACCCCGUGCAACUGACAGUACCUGCAGAAUAAGCGCAGCUAACUACGUGCCAGCAGCCGCGGUAAUACGUAGGGUGCAAGCGUUAAUCGGAAUUACUGGGCGUAAAGCGUGCGCAGGCGGUUCGGAAGAAAGAUGAAAUCCCAGAGCUUAACUUUGGAACUGCAUUUUAACUACCGAGCUAGAGUGUGUCAGAGGAGGUGGAAUUCCGCGUGUAGCAGUGAAAUGCGUAGAUAUGCGGAGGAACACCGAUGGCGAAGGCAGCCCUCCUGGGAUAACACUGACGCUCAUGCACGAAAGCAGUAAGGAGCAAGCCCGGAUUAGAUACCCUGGUAGUCCACGCCUAAACGAUGUCAACUAGCUGUUGGGGCCUUCGGGCCUUGGUAGCGCAGCUAACGCGUGAAGUUGACCGCCGCAAAUUACGGUCGCAAGAUUAAAACUCAAAGGAAUUGACGGGGACCCGCACAAGCGGUGGAUGAUGUGGAUUAAUUCGAUGCAACGCGAAAAACCUUACCUACCCUUGACAUGUGCGAUCCCGAAGAGAUUUGGGGAGUGCUCGCAAAGAGAACCGGAACACAGGUGCUGCAUGGCUGUCGUCAGCUCGUGUCGUGAAGUGUUGGGUUAAGUCCCGCAACGAGCGCAACCCUUGUCAUUAGUUGCUACGAAGGGCACUCUAAUGAGACUGCCGGUGACAAACCGGAGGAAGGUGGGGAUGACGUCAAGUCCUCAUGGCCCUUAUGGGUAGGGCUUCACACGUCAUACAAUGGUGGGACAGAGGGUCGCCAACCCGCGAGGGAGCCAAUCCCAGAGAAACCCGAUCGUAGUCCGGAUCGCAGUCUGCAACUCGACUGCGUGAAGUCGGAAUCGCUAAUCGCGGAUCAGCAUGUCGCGGUGAAUACGUUCCCGGGUCUUGUACACACCGCCCGUCACACCAUGGGAGUGGGUUUUACCGAAGUAGUUAGCCUAACCGUAAGGAGGGCGAUUACCACGGUAGGAUUCAUGACUGGGGUGGAAAGUCGUAACAAGGUAG